GAAGGGACCUAGCGUAGUUCGGAAUUACUGGGCUUAAAGAGUUCGUAGGUGGUUGAAAAAGUUAGUGGUGAAAUCCCAGAGCUUAACUCUGGAACUGCCAUUAAAACUUUUCAGCUAGAGUAUGAUAGAGGAAAGCAGAAUUUCUAGUGUAGAGGUGAAAUUCGUAGAUAUUAGAAAGAAUACCAAUUGCGAAGGCAGCUUUCUGCAUCAUUACUGACACUGAGGAACGAAAGCAUGGGUAGC
RNAcentral lists this ribosomal RNA (243 nucleotides) under uncultured marine bacterium pC8-28A. Its description in RNAcentral is "partial 16S ribosomal RNA". It matches the Rfam family "Bacterial small subunit ribosomal RNA", at positions 527 to 769 of the family's 1533-position model. The record is from RNAcentral. Lineage: Bacteria; Pseudomonadati; Pseudomonadota; Alphaproteobacteria; Candidatus Pelagibacterales.